AUGCAUGUAACUUAUUAUUCCUUCUGCAGUAUGCCCGUGCGAGACAUUGUUGCCUGGCGGCACACACAGGAUAUUCGAGAAUAUGCCCAUGCGAGACCGUCUUGCCAGGAACGUGCUCGUUGCGGGGUGCAGCUUGACUCCGUUAUGCUCGUGUCCAUGCUGCCUGUCUGCGCUGAUGCCCUGGUGCUCCGUGGUGCUGUCGAUGAACUCAUGAAUGCCUCCACGACAAUCUUUGACGUGUACUGCAAGCGCAGGCGGUGUUUGAUUGGAAGCUGGGCAAGGACGCUGUCCUGGAACGGUUCUAGUGACAGGGAGGGAAAUAAUCAUGAGAGAUACAACUUUAAGGACGUGUGCGGGUGGGGUGGCAUGAUUUGCUCGGCCUCGUCGGCGUCUCCUCCCACGAGCGGACAUGUUACAUUCGACUGUGCCCCACACUUUGACCAGCCAGGCGUGCUCGCCAGCAUGUCUUCCUCCGCACCUUCACAUGCCUUCCAAGCUUUGCCCACAAGACGCCUCCAUACCGAGCUGCAGUGCAAGCUCUCGCGUCCGGGCGCGCUUGCCAAAAUACAUAAGUUAACCAAGAGUUAA
RNAcentral lists this ribosomal RNA (588 nucleotides) under Triticum aestivum (bread wheat). RNAcentral describes it as "partial small subunit ribosomal RNA". Lineage: Eukaryota; Viridiplantae; Streptophyta; Magnoliopsida; Poales; Poaceae. The record is from RNAcentral.